This 2514-nucleotide long non-coding RNA is filed under the name Olea europaea subsp. europaea. The record is from RNAcentral. Lineage: Eukaryota; Viridiplantae; Streptophyta; Magnoliopsida; Lamiales; Oleaceae.
UGUUGCAAUGCUGAAGGUUACUUUGAGGAAAUCUCAACAUUAAUUCCUUUAUUCAGUAACUUGAGAACGGAUUGAUGCUGAGGACGAGCUUGGCUUAUUGAUUUCAAUGACAAGGAACAAACAAUCACUUUCCACCACUAAGUGAGAUAUUCCAAGGUUAAGACAUAGUUAUAGACCUCUCACAAGUGCAUCAGCUUCAAUGUGUUCCGGUUCCAGGAUUGUGUUUGCAGGACCACUAGCAGCCAGAAUUGUUUAUCCCACGUGGUCCCGUAAAAUGAUUCCGAUCCCAGACUUAUUUGAGUCAAAGAAUAGUGCGCCAUCAAUAUUGAGUUUCAAUGCUUUCUUGGGUGGUGCCGACCACCUAUAUUUGUGGAGAAGCGAUCCAAGUGUACUGUUGAGGGGUAGCAAUUACUUGUUGUGGUGGAAGGUUUAGCUGGUCAUGGACCAUUUUGUUUCGGCGGAACCAAAAACCCCAAGUGAUGAGUAUAAAUUCCGUGAGAGCAUCCUUUGAGUUUUUUGCCAUUAUAUCCAUAGCUACUUGCAUGAAAUCUCCCAGGUGAUCCUUAUUCUGUAGUGCUGGGAACUGUCUGGUUAGGAGAUGGUAAGUAGAAGGGCAAUUGCGUAGAACAUGGCAUAGGUCUUCUACCUGGUAGUCGCAAAAACAAUAUUGAGUGGCAAUAGGGAUUCCUCUUCGAAUCAGAUUUUGUUUCGAGGGCAAGCUUUCUUUACAAGCUCUCCAAGCAAAAUUUUUUUACUUUUUGGCGUAUCUUUAGAUGCCAUAUAGUAUCCCAAAAUUUCUUUUUCUCAGUUGUGUUUGAAGAGUUGCCACGGUCCGAAGUUUGACAAUUCUUGAAGAAUCUAUAUACACUGCUAACAGAAUAAAGUCCAAUUUUUUCAUGUUCCCAUAACCAGAAAUCUUUUUCUCUCGAAGGGCUUGGAUGUAAUUUUAGUAUUGCCUCCACAAUUUUUGGAUUGAAUACAGCCCUAAGCUUAGUCAGGUUCCACCAUUUCAAGUUCAGAUCAAUCAAUGAAGCCACUGGACUUUCAAGUUGUUGAUUGUGAUGCAGUAAAUCAUUUCCCAAGUCCCUGCUUAGAUUUUUCACUCCUGAGAUCCAGUUAUCAUUUAUAAUGUAUAUAGUGUGACUAUCACCAACAACCCAUCUUCCCCCUUGUAUCAGUAGAUUUUUAGCCUCCCAGAUUCCACGCCAAGCAUAUGAGGGAUUACUACCAAUAGAUGCUUUAAGAAUGUUACCUUCAAGGAAGUAACAGGCUGAGAAUAUUUUGUGAACUAAGCUAUCUGUGUGUUGCAAUAGCCUCCAAGCCUGUUUUCCAAGCAUAGCUAUGUUGAAGAUUCCCAGCUCCUUGAAGCCCAUACCCUCCAUGGAUUUCGAUGUACACAUGGUAUUCCAGGAUUGCCAAUGGAUUUUUCGUUCCUCCUUUCUUUGGCCCCACCAAAAUCUACUCAUCAUCCUUUCAAUUUCAGUGCAUAAUAUAGAGGGAAGUUUGAAGUAACUCAUAGCAUAGGAGGGGAUUGCUAAAGCCACUGAUUUGAGGAGGAUUUCUCUUCCCCCUUGGGAGAACAUACCACUCUUCCAACUUUGUAAUUUCAACCAAGCCUUGUGUUUUAUUCCAGAGAAAGCUCGAUUUUUGAUCCACCGAUCAUAGGUGGUAAUCCCAAAUACUUUUCAUAUUGCUGUAUUUCAGGAGCAUUCCAAAGAGCCAUAAUUUCUUGCUUCUUAUCUGGCUUUACAUUUGCACUAAAGACCAUAGAAGUUUUAUCUCUAUUCAACUGUUGACUUGAUGCAUCUUCAUAGCUACUAAGGAGAGCUUGUAGUCAAGUAGUAGUUUCCACAUUUGCUUCACAGAAAAUCAGGCUGUCGUCUACAAAGAAAAAUGAUUCAAGCUUGGAGCUCUUCUACACACUUGAAUACCAUUCACUAAUUUAUUUCUUUCCCCUGUAUUCAAUAGAUUAAUCAAUCCUUUGGCACAUAAGAGGAAUAGAUAGCGCGAUAUUGGAUCCCCUUGUCUCCACCCCCUUGAGGGGAUAAUGCGACCUAUGGGAGCGCCAUUGAUGAGUAUCGAGAAAGAAGGAGUUGUAACACAUGUCAUCACCAGUUUGAUAAUUUUUUCAUGGAAGCCAAAUUUAUACAUAACCGCCUCAAGAAAAGACCAUUUAACUCUGUCAUAUGCUUUACUCAUUCAAGCUUCAGAGACAUGUAACAUUUCUUACCCUUCUUCUUUCUUCAUAGGAAAUGGAGUACUUCAUAGGCCACAAGCGCAUUGUCUGUAAUCAGACGCCCUUUAAUGAAGGCUGACUGUGUUUCUAAAAUCACCACAGGUAGUACUUCUUUUAUCCUGUUAGCCACAACUUUUGAAACAAUUUGUACAGGAUAUUACAAAGACUAACUGGUCUGCAAUCCUUUACUUUCUGAGGAUUUUUUAUCUUUAGGACAAGUGUAAUAAAAGUGUGGUUUACAUUUUAGGGAAACUCAUUGGUAUUUAAAGCAUGUAAUA